CCUGAUGCAGCCAUGCCGCGUGUGUGAAGAAGGCCUUCGGGUUGUAAAGCACUUUCAGUUGUGAGGAAAAGUUAGUAGUUAAUACCUGCUAGCCGUGACGUUAACAACAGAAGAAGCACCGGCUAACUCCGUGCCAGCAGCCGCGGUAAUACGGAGGGUGCGAGCGUUAAUCGGAAUUACUGGGCGUAAAGCGCACGCAGGCGGUUUGUUAAGCUAGAUGUGAAAGCCCCGGGCUCAACCUGGGAUGGUCAUUUAGAACUGGCAGACUAGAGUCUUGGAGAGGGGAGUGGAAUUCCAGGUGUAGCGGUGAAAUGCGUAGAUAUCUGGAGGAACAUCAGUGGCGAAGGCGACUCCCUGGCCAAAGACUGACGCUCAUGUGCGAAAGUGUGGGUAGCGAACAGGAUUAGAUACCCUGGUAGUCCACACCGUAAACGCUGUCUACUAGCUGUGUGUGUCUUUAAGACGUGCGUAGCGAAGCUAACGCGCUAAGUAGACCGCCUG
This 501-nucleotide ribosomal RNA is filed under the name Alteromonas sp. QPT_2_49. RNAcentral describes it as "bacterial SSU rRNA". It matches the Rfam family "Bacterial small subunit ribosomal RNA", at positions 382 to 875 of the family's 1533-position model. Lineage: Bacteria; Pseudomonadati; Pseudomonadota; Gammaproteobacteria; Alteromonadales; Alteromonadaceae. The record is from RNAcentral.